Molecule: long non-coding RNA, 883 nt
Organism: Misgurnus anguillicaudatus (oriental weatherfish)
Lineage: Eukaryota; Metazoa; Chordata; Actinopteri; Cypriniformes; Cobitidae
Source: RefSeq, a predicted model, not a curated record
CCUGCAAUAAUGAAGAGCUAUUGAGACGUCUUCUGCCAGCAUGUUUGAAGACAGGCAGAUCACUCUGUGAAGCAAAAAAAAGCUUAGCCUUCAUUAAAUAGGGAUUGAAGGCCACCCACCUAUGCACCUGGGGGCUGAUGGAGCUGGGUGAUAUAGGUGAGCUGAAGUGAUGGGACUGGAGGCCCUUUCUGCCCCAUCUGACAUAAACCACACUCUGGACAGUCCGGCGGACCACAGAGGACCCUGAUUUAUAGUCGGGCGAAAGCCAGGACAGCCGUGGUGAUCUUUCAAUAAAACAUCAAAAAAAGCUCUGACCCAUCCAUUACCCACAAGCCCUUGUGGAACAGGCAGGUCAGGUGUUGUUGCCACCCCUCACGUCGCAAUCUCACGCUGAAGUACCAUGGGAAAAGCCAGGAGGACUGCGUGUACUGUUGAAUUACAGCACAGUGAAAAAGACAGAGAGCGAGAGGUGUAAACUGCUAUUAUACGGUGCAACUGGACACUGAAGCUAUUCUACACAUUUCAAGUUGUCUUAAUUUAUAAUUUACUGUGCAGAAAGGGUAAAGGGGACCGUAAAUCUGCAAAACAAGAAACCCCAGAAAAAAGGUGGAUGUAUAAUUAAUGGCUGACAUUAAGGACUGACAAUCUGAAGAGAUGUGAUGAGACAGCGGGGUGUCUCUGGUGCCCGGGCCGAGCUGAGCAUCACACCCUCGGGCGAAGCCACAGGCGCUAUGCUGCUGUCCAUAUGGACCGGGCGCGCGCAAGGCUCAUCCGCGCACAAGUGCACGCGCGACUGAAAGGAGACACUUUGGAAACGCGCGGUCACGUAUUGGACCGCGCACUUCUGUAAUUAAUGACAUAUAUUAGCUGUCUGUUUAUUUCG